Molecule: long non-coding RNA, 397 nt
Organism: Gambusia affinis (western mosquitofish)
Lineage: Eukaryota; Metazoa; Chordata; Actinopteri; Cyprinodontiformes; Poeciliidae
Exons: 3
Source: RefSeq, a predicted model, not a curated record
GCCAUGGAAAUAGCACAACAAUAAAGAUAUGCAGAAAAUAGCCCGAGCCUCCUCUGUUAAUUAAAACAUUACAACUGGCGACGGGGAUACUUUUAGGAGAAGAGAUGACGUCAAGUAUCAGCAAGACUGAAGCAGCAUGUGGUUCUCCUCCUCACUCUGGGGCAGAGCCAGCUCCAAGCCUCGUUGCUGGCAGAAAUCUGCAGCCUUCUGGAAAGAUCCUCUCUCCUUGUUGGACACAAAGUAUUUCUGACCCGCCUUCCUCACAAAGUCAAAGGUUAAAGCUGGAAGAACAUGCAGAAAAUUUGGAAGAGAAAAACUUUCCGUUUUUGAGCUGCUACCUGGGAUAGCAUAUCCAGGUGGUCUUUGUGCUCCUGGUGCUCCUGGUGGUCCUGGUGGU